UAGGGAAUAUUAGAAAUGGACGAAAGUCUGAUCUAGCAACACCGCGUGUGCGAUGAAGGCCUUCGGGUCGUAAAGCACUUUUUGGAAGGAAUAGGAAGGAAUGUACUUCCAGAAUAAGUCUCGGCUAACUACGUGCCAGCAGCCGCGGUAACACGUAGGAGGCAAACGUUAUCCGGAUUUACUGGGCGUAAAGCGCACGCAGGCGGCUUGUUAAGUCAGAUGUGAAAGCCCCGGGCUCAACCUGGGAACUGCAUUUGAAACUGACAAGCUAGAGUCUUGUAGAGGGGGGUAGAAUUCCAGGUGUAGCGGUGAAAUGCGUAGAGAUCUGGAGGAAUACCGGUGGCGAAGGCGGCCCCCUGGACAGAGACUGACGCUCAGGUGCGAAAGCGUGGGGAGCAAACA
This 402-nucleotide ribosomal RNA is filed under the name uncultured prokaryote. RNAcentral describes it as "bacterial SSU rRNA". It matches the Rfam family "Bacterial small subunit ribosomal RNA", at positions 355 to 774 of the family's 1533-position model. The record is from RNAcentral.